Molecule: ribosomal RNA, 418 nt
Filed under: uncultured bacterium
Lineage: Bacteria
Description: bacterial SSU rRNA
Rfam family: Bacterial small subunit ribosomal RNA
Source: RNAcentral
AUGGGAACGCGAAGAACCUUACCUACUCUUGACAUCCAGAGAACUUUCCAGAGAUGGAUUGGUGCCUUCGGGAACUCUGAGACAGGUGCUGCAUGGCUGUCGUCAGCUCGUGUUGUGAAAUGUUGGGUUAAAUCCCGCAACGAGCGCAACCCGUUAUCCUUUGUUGCCAGCGGUCCGGCCGGGAACUCAAAGGAGACUGCCAGUGAUAAACUGAGGAAGGUGGGGAUGACGUCAAGUCAUCAUGGCCCUUACGAGUAGGGCUACACACGUGCUACAAUGGCGCAUACAAAGAGAAGCGACCUCGCGAGAGCAAGCGGACCUCAUAAAGUGCGUCGUAGUCCGGAUUGGAGUCUGCAACUCGACUCCAUGAAGUCGGAAUCGCUAGUAAUCGUAGAUCGAGAAUGCUACGGUGAAUACG